This is a regulatory RNA element of 96 nucleotides. It matches the Rfam family "mraW RNA". The record is from Rfam.
GUUUUAGCCAGGGACGUGGACUUUCUCCGAUGCUCCGACGAACUUCCCCAUCGCCGGAUCAUGCGGAGAAGGUCCUCAUUCCUGGACAGCACAUGA